UGGCGAGGCUGACAUAGCUUUUACUGAUUCGUCUGCUUGGUGAGUGGACAGGAUGCCAGUCUGGCAGUUUGCAUUGGCAAUAAAUCACCACUAGACAUUUUAUUUAAAAUCUGGCACUGGCUUGGGAGAGGUGAGGGAUUGUCAAUUUGUUUUUAUUUUGAGGCCAGGCACAAUCAUAACACAAGCAGGCCACCUGGAAAC
RNAcentral lists this long non-coding RNA (201 nucleotides) under Meriones unguiculatus (Mongolian gerbil). RNAcentral describes it as "Viral integration site 1 (ENSMUGG00000022567.1)". It matches the Rfam family "Viral integration site 1". Lineage: Eukaryota; Metazoa; Chordata; Mammalia; Rodentia; Muridae. The record is from RNAcentral.